Long non-coding RNA from Pecten maximus, 3639 nucleotides. RefSeq lists it as uncharacterized. The record is from RefSeq and is a predicted model, not a curated record. The transcript is spliced from 2 exons. Lineage: Eukaryota; Metazoa; Mollusca; Bivalvia; Pectinida; Pectinidae.
AGAGAAAAGAUCAAUCAGACAUGGAACCUAUAAAGAUCAUUUAAUGGUGGGCGCCAAGAUCCCUCUGGGAUCUCUUGUUUUGUAUCAAAAUAUGUAAUUAAAUCAACGACCACGUGAUCCGUCUGAUCACAUGAUCAAUCAGUCAAAAUUGUAGCGCCUUUUUGAUACGGGCUUCAUCAGAAACUCUGUAGUGUGAUGUUUGUCACUAGAGUAUUUAUCAACACGAAUUAAAGGCAAGUUGCUUACAAGUUGUUAAUCUGUUUGUUCACAUGUUUACCUUAUUUUUUCUUUAAUUACUUAGGACUAAACUUUGUUUACCGUAAAUUACGAUUAACGUUAGUGAUUCAGAGCCUGAUCAGACUGCAUCAUUAGAACGAAGUCAUACCCUUCCUACACUGCUCUGAGGCAGACAUAUUGUCGUCCAGAUCUACGUUAUCGCAGCUAGUAUUUCAUAAAAAAAACAUGUAUCAUGGGUCAGUGAUCUUAUAAAGCUUACAAAACUAUCGCAUCUGUUAGUCGUAGUGGUCAUUCCGACAUUCGUGAUGUUUACACCGACUGCACUCUUCCUUCACGAAGAAUAUACAGAAUUUGGAAUUUCUGGGAUAAUAUUAACUGCAGUUGGUUAUAGUAUUAAUAAUAAAGACUCAUACCAUAGACAUCUACAUUCAGUUAUCAUAACUAAUUACAAUUGGAAUACUCGCCGAUAAGUCAACAAAAGAAGGUAUCAAUAGCUGUAUUUGAUAUGUUAAUAUAUACAUAUCAUUUUCUAAUGACGUUUUCAUGUAAUGUGCUGAUGUUGUGAGAUGUUUUUGGGUAGUUUUUGGGUGUUUUUGGGUAAAUCGUUCUGCCGCCAGAGCGCGCUACUAUAAGAAAACGUGGAAUUAUAUCCGACACCGUUUAGUGUCGCUAAGAAUUUGGUGCAAAUACAAUAAAAUCGGGUGUGACAUAACACGUACCUUACAUUUAUGGAUAAAUGAGAUAUUUAUUUACCCAAGAACACCCAUUUAGUCCCAUGUAGGUGUUUUAUUCCAUCCGUAUAGACCUUCGCUUUACGCUAGUUAAAAUUUCAUACUUGACUCGUCGCCAUAUUGCUAACUAUGUAGGUCGCGGUCAGCCAAUUACCCUAAUCAGUGCGUGAUGGAGUGAAAAGGGAAAAAAAUACAACAUUUAUUUUUUUAUAUAUUUUACCCCUUAUAAUUAAUAAAUAAUGAAUUUUUGAAUUUAAUAUAAUUCACACAGGUUUUGGGAAAUAAUAAGCUUAGUUUUCUUAAUUUAAACUAUGCAGGAAGAAAAACACAAUAAAGCAUAUGUGGUCUUUUCGGUCCAUUGCAUUCCGAUUCCGGUGGUGACAGGGCCAGAGUAAAAUUGGGCUAAUUAAUAAAAUGAAAAAUAAUUUUAGAUAAUCAAAAUUUAUACCAAUUGCAUACCAUAUACUACUUUUUGAAGUAUAUAUAUAUAUAUAUAUAUAUAUGUGUGUGUCACAAACAGAUUCUGAUGACCAGAAAUGAUAAUGUUAAAUCAGUGUUUAUGGACUGGCUAUUUGUGUUUUAAGUAGAAUAUAUAUUCCUAUUACAGCUGCAGGCAGAUGUCAGCAACGUAAAAAUGUGAACAGGAAUCAAGGUCCACAGAGUUGGUCUGUUGCAGAACAACAGGCUGUGUUACGGCAUCUAGGAAAACUGAUUCUUUCUGGGAAACUUCCUGGAAAACUUGUUUGUGAAGACGUGAUAAAAAAGGAAGCCAUCCUUCACAGAAGACCAUGGCAGCAAAUAAAACAUUUUAUCAGAAACAAAAUAACCAGCAAAACCAGGAAAAACAACCCUGUGUUAUUACCAUUCUCUUGAAGUCUCAAUCUGAGAGCACUUUUUGUGCGAGGAAAAAUGACCGGUGUUUUAUUCUUACAUGUACAUUGAUUCAACUCAUUUUCAGUUAGCCUAUUUGCCUAUUGCAUCACCCCAGUGUCAGCAUUGCAAAGUUAAAGUUUUGCUGCGCGUAAUUAUCCCCUUGUGACGAAUGUCAGAGGGGAUAUGGGGAUGUUACUUUAAGGAUGUAACUAAUUAUAUAAGAAAUGCCCCUUGUCAGUGCUUUAGCAGCUUCAUUCCUUGAGGGAUUUAGAUCAAAUUUCACACAAUAUAAGGAAUGUAAUAUCUCGGACAAAGUACGAGUUUCAGGGUUGCAAGGUCAAGGUCUCUUGCUAUUUUUAGAACAAUUUUUUUGAAAAUCUUUGUCAUGGCUUUAGCAUCUUUAUUCCUUGAGUUUUUUUUAUCAAACUUCACACAUUUAUAAAGGACUAUAAUAUCUAAGACGAGUUCAAGUUUUUGGGUUGUAGUGUAAAGGCUGUCUGUCUGAAAUAUUGUGUCAAGUAGAUUUAAAAAAGUGCUGAAGCUGUAUUUCUCAAAACAGGGUAACAACAUCCUUAUGAUAUGAAGUUGUGCCCUUUUGCUUUUCGUAAAAUUUUGCCAAUACUUGCUAGAGUUACGUCCCUUUUUUCUCCGAAAUAUUGUCAAGUAGAUCUAUGAAAGUACUGAAGUGACAUUUCUCAAAUUUGGCAUACAGCAUCAUUAUGAUAUAAAGUUGUACCCUUUUGCUUUCCGUAAAGUUUCGCCAUAACUUUAGAAUGCAUGUGACAUCACAUAAUGAAUGAUCAGUAAUCAAUCGAGGAUGGGUGGGAACGCUUGUAUUGCAAAGGGUGAUGAAGUGGAGGAAUAGGGGGUAUAAUUUAGCCAUUGGCUUACAGUUCUAGUUCAAAUAUUUUUAGAAAAUCUGUGUCAGCACUCUAGCAGCUUCAUUGUUAAGGGAUUUGGAUCAGACUUCACACACUAAUUAAGGACCACAAUAUCUUAGCGAUAUUAGGGGAACGGAUCUAUCACUUCAAAAAGAUUAAAAAGAUUACAUAUUUGAAGAACAUUUAAUAUAUACUCUUAAGUAAUGUAUCUCUUCUAGUAAAUGGAGUGUGUAAAAACAUAUGUAAUGUAACAUUUUGAAAACAGAUUGAAAGCACAGUUGUUUAUUAACUAACCAAAUGAAAAUCAGAGGGUUUAUAGUUAUUUUUAUAAGGCCAUCAAGCAUUUUGAUGGGACAUAGUAUGAUAUGGCAUUAUCUGUCGGUUCAUUGUAAAGAUAUGUUUUCAACUGAUUUGUUUAAAUCUUUAUGCUUUUAAAGUAGCAUUUUGAUUUAAGUUCUAAAAUGUUUCUUGCCUUUUGUUGUUUUUUUCUGUCUUUUUUAUCUUGUCUUGGGAUCUAUCUCAAUUUUGACUGAUCUCUUGUUCACUUGACAUGUUUUAUUAUUAUCUUUACAUUGUAGCUGUGCUGAAUUUGGAUUUGGGAUUCUUUUUACUGGUGGGUACCUUAAGUGUUCAAGAAAUUCGACUUUAGAAAGCACAUCAUGGUCAUAUUUAAUUAUGCAAAGUUUUACACGGCUUUUUAUAAAAUAUCAUUACACAAAAUGUUUUCGUUAUGAAAUCGCGAUCUACUUUACAACAGUAAAUAGUACAUGAACCAGUAUGUUAUCAAGCAAAAAAUAUAUCAAAAUGGGCUUGAAGAAAACAAGAUAGUUACAAUCGAAUUGUGAAUGACUUUUGAUAUGAUGACUAUUUCACAUGUAUGUCCUUUAUUGUUGAAUAAAGAUUCAAAUUCAAAAUAA